This 504-nucleotide ribosomal RNA is filed under the name uncultured bacterium. RNAcentral describes it as "partial 16S ribosomal RNA". It matches the Rfam family "Bacterial small subunit ribosomal RNA", at positions 29 to 507 of the family's 1533-position model. The record is from RNAcentral.
ACGAACGCUGGCGGCGUGCCUCAUACAUGCAAGUAGGACGCACAGUCUAUACCGUAGCUUGCUACACCAUAGGCUGUGAGUUGCGAACGGGUGAGUAACGCGUAGGUAACCUGCCUAUUAGAGGGGGAUAACUAUUGGAAACGAUAGCUAAUACCGCAUAACAGUAUGUAACACAUGUUAGAUGCUUGAAAGAUGCAAUUGCAUCGCUAGUAGAUGGACCUGCGUUGUAUUAGCUAGUAGGUAGGGUAAUGGCCUACCUAGGCGACGAUACAUAGCCGACCUGAGAGGGUGAUCGGCCACACUGGGACUGAGACACGGCCCAGACUCCUACGGGAGGCAGCAGUAGGGAAUCUUCGGCAAUGGGGGGAACCCUGACCGAGCAACGCCGCGUGAGUGAAGAAGGUUUUCGGAUCGUAAAGCUCUGUUGUUAAGGAAGAACGAGUGUGAGAAUGGAAAGUUCAUACUGUGACGGUACUUAACCAGAAAGGGACGGCUAACUACGUG